AUAUCAUCUUCAGUUGUGAAAGACUUAAAAAAAAGUUUUUUAUUUUUUAAGAUAAAAAUUAAUAAUGGCCGGGGCCUAUAGCUCAGUUGGUUAGAGCACACGCCUGAUAAGCGUGAGGUCGAUGGUUCGAGUCCAUUUAGGCCCACCAAAAUAUUUAUUUUAAAAAAAAGCUCUUUGAAAAG
This 182-nucleotide unclassified non-coding RNA is filed under the name Candidatus Phytoplasma pyri. RNAcentral's name for it is "partial 16S-23S ribosomal RNA intergenic spacer". The stretch from base 72 to 145 matches the Rfam family "tRNA". The record is from RNAcentral. Lineage: Bacteria; Bacillati; Mycoplasmatota; Mollicutes; Acholeplasmatales; Acholeplasmataceae.